This is a long non-coding RNA of Hyla sarda, 629 nucleotides long. RefSeq lists it as uncharacterized. The record is from RefSeq and is a predicted model, not a curated record. NCBI's taxonomy places the organism in Eukaryota, Metazoa, Chordata, Amphibia, Anura, Hylidae. The transcript is spliced from 6 exons.
GGGAUCGUGGGAAGAAGAUGGAGGUCGGUACCUGCAGGAGAAGAUGCCUGGAGACCCGAUCGUUGCUGGAGACUGCUGGAUCCUUGGUCAGAUUUUUAUCACUCAGGGUCCAGAUACAAAUAGAAGACUGGGACAAGCCCAGUACGAGGGAGUCAGUGCAGAGACUGGAGACCACUGCACAUGGCAGUUUUACAAUAUCCUGAUGGAUUAUUGGAACCAGGACAGGGUAUUCCUGGGUUGUAGCUUGCAGGAAGUGCAGUGGACAUUAUCAAACUCAAGUGCUGCUCCAGAAUUUUCUUUUUGCUCUCAGAACGAGCCAAAGUAGUGACGUCACUCACAAGCUCCAACUGCAUCCGAUCUCUUCAAGAGGUAGAGACGCCACCGGCCGAGGCUGACUCCCUCUAACCGCAUGCAAUAUCAACACAGCAGGAUCCGAACACGCAUUCAAGUGAACGUACGGAUAUUUUCUUCACCGGUCUCAAAAAUCAGUUUACCGGAUGAUCAGACCGGCGAGUCUGAUAGACAGGAUUUGUCAGUACCCUCCUAGUUAGAGAAGCAGUAAAUAGGUGAUCAAGCCGAAGGUUACAUCCAUAUCUACACUUUCAAUAAAUUAACACAUGUAAGCACAA